CGCACGGGUGAGUAACACGUAUCCAACCUGCCGUCUACUCUUGGACAGCCUUCUGAAAGGAAGAUUAAUACAAGAUGGCAUCAUGAGUCCGCAUGUCACAUGAUUAAAGGUAUUCCGGUAGACGAUGGGGAUGCGUUCCAUUAGAUAGUAGGCGGGGUAACGGCCCACCUAGUCUUCGAUGGAUAGGGGUUCUGAGAGGAAGGUCCCCCACAUUGGAACUGAGACACGGUCCAA
Molecule: ribosomal RNA, 234 nt
Filed under: uncultured bacterium
Lineage: Bacteria
Description: partial 16S ribosomal RNA
Rfam family: Bacterial small subunit ribosomal RNA
Source: RNAcentral